GGGCGGUUAGCUCAGUGGUAGAGCACUGUCUUCACACGGCAGGGGUCGCUGGUUCGAACCCAGCACCGCCCACCA
Molecule: transfer RNA, 75 nt
Filed under: Salinisphaeraceae bacterium
Lineage: Bacteria; Pseudomonadati; Pseudomonadota; Gammaproteobacteria; Salinisphaerales; Salinisphaeraceae
Description: tRNA-Val
Rfam family: tRNA
About the family: Transfer RNA (tRNA) molecules are approximately 80 nucleotides in length. Their secondary structure includes four short double-helical elements and three loops (D, anti-codon, and T loops). Further hydrogen bonds mediate the characteristic L-shaped molecular structure. tRNAs have two regions of fundamental functional importance: the anti-codon, which is responsible for specific mRNA codon recognition, and the 3' end, to which the tRNAs corresponding amino acid is attached (by aminoacyl-tRNA synthetases). tRNAs cope with the degeneracy of the genetic code in two manners: having more than one tRNA (with a specific anti-codon) for a particular amino acid; and 'wobble' base-pairing, i.e. permitting non-standard base-pairing at the 3rd anti-codon position.
Source: RNAcentral